AUAUCUUCCUGAUUUAUUUUUCUGAGAUAACUACAUUGGUUAGAACUUCUAAAACAAAGGUGAGUGAUAAUAGUGGUCAUAAAUAUCCUUAUCUCAUUUAUGACUUUAUGAUAAAAGAAUUUUAAAAAUAUUUCAAACAUCAAAAUAAUAAAAUGUUGUAAUUCAGACAACUUUUUCCAUAUAGUUUUCUUAUAAACAGUCCUUUAAAUACAAACUCUGGAUUGCUUCUAAAUUGUGACAUUCUCUUUUGGGAAAAAAGUACUAAACAUUUUACAUUAAAACAAUCUUUUUUAACUAAAUUGAACACAUACUUUUAAUAAAGACCACAGUAAUUUUUAACACUGGAAAUACAAAGGAUAAAAUAGAAAAUUAUUUUAUUCUUGCAAAUUAAUUUGCAAGACAAAAGAAAUUCAGACAAUAAUGCAGUUUGUACAAUAACCCAAAAUCAAUUAUUUUGUUAAAUAAUAUAUAUGAUAUAAAUAACAGAAAAAAUUAGAACACCAUUUGCAAUAAAAAAUAUUGAGCCCUUUAACUUUAAGGAUAACAUUUUCAUCUAGUAUUCUUGACUUCUUGUGUUUUCGACCUAAAACAGCAUAUACAUUUGGAAAGGAGACUCAAUUUUUCACAAUUCAUACCCCUAUACUCCCACACCCUGAGAAGGCAUAUAAAUUAUUUCUAGAUAUGAAGGUCUUUAAUAUAAAUCAUGCCCCUAAAUUGCUAAGCCCCAAAAUGAGGAAUACUGAAGUCACAAAACAUUUAAGCUCUUCUUUAAGUUAAACAACAGAAGAAAGGACACUAUAUCAAAACUCUACACUAAGUCAAAUAUUCUAGAAGAUUUCCCAAGCCUUAACAAAAUACAUGAUUGCUUGAGGGUUGUAAGUCCAAAGGCAAAAUUGUAAAGCAGAAUAAGAACAUAUUUACUGAACAUUUAUAAAUGAGCCAGACUCUAAGCUAUGAGCCUUAUAUACAUUAUCUCCUAUCACUGAUUUACCUUAUCCCAGCAAGGAAAGUAUUGCCACACUACUGGCUUCACAUUGCCCUUGCUACACAAUCUUCCAUAAGCACUUUCUGUAUAUGGAUUGUAAAUGGCUCCUUGGGACUGACCAUAUGUCUUCUGGAGAAAGGUUGGGGAAGCUUCACUGCAAACAUGGUCUGAGCUUAGGCUGGUCACAGAUUGAUUACUUGGAGACCACUGCAAUCAGCAAAUAAGAGUAACCAUAUACUAGCAUCAGUGAUAGGGGACAAGGUACAAUGACACUGAAGUGGGUCCAGAUGGUCUUCUUUUUUACUGCUCUUAUGGGACACUUUCCUUGAAUUAGAGUAAGGCUGGCUAAGAAACUCCGGAUUUACUUUUUUACAGAUUUUCCAGAAUAUCAAAUAAGGGAAAUUGAUCAAGCAAAACAUACCAAUUCAACAAAACUAGCCCACAGAGCAGUUAUAGUACCUUACAGUAAAAGAUGCUACAAAUUUAAGCAACCUCGGGUUUUCUUCAUUCUUUAAUACACCAACACAUCUAACACAUGUGUGAACUAUUCAUUUGGAAGAGCCAAAAGACUAUCAAAUAAGUUUAUUGCUUCAUAUAUAUCUAUUCCUGGUAUUCAUAUUCCUGUACCAAGCUUCAAGCAAAGAAGGAGCAUCCAAAUUAAGCCUAAGAAAUAGAAAGUAUCUGGAAAGAAUCAACAGUGCCUAAUGAGUAGGUACGGCAUGGAAUCAAGAUAUGAAAUUCUAUAUGUUGAGCUGCUGAUACGUUUUGGAGAGAUACUACACAUAUGUCUCUGCUCUGAUGUCAUAAAGCUUUGAUCACAUCAAGUUUCAAUGGCUUACAACUGCUUCACUUUUACACAGAAUUUUUGAACUAAAAGGGCCCUCAGAGAGAAUCUCGCCUGAUCCAUUCAUUUUGAAUAAUACAAACUGACUUUCUUCAUUCUGGACGACUUUUUCCAAGGUUGUGGCAGCCUGUACAGUGAUCUUCCUUUCCCUGAAAAUCCACAGGGGCAACGAGCCCAACUAGCAACAUUCAAUAUCUGGGCUUCACCUUGACCCAGAAAAUGCAAAUCAAACUAUGCUGAAAGCUUCAUACAAAGGAACUGAAAGAUUGAUUCCUACAAGGUACAGCAUGGAAUGUUAUAAUUUCAUACCAGGGUAGGUAAGUUUUUGAUAAAAGCACUUGCUGAGAUUUCUAAUUUCUUCCCUCAAGGGCAUGAAACUAAGCAAAUUAAUCACUCUAACAUCUAGACUCUUAAGGCAGAGGCCCAUUUAUUAGAAUAUGUUCAAUAGCAGAAGACAUGCUAUGUAUCAUCACACGCCCGCACCUGAUCCUCAACUCUCUGGGCCCAGCGAGCAGCAUCGUUACAGACGCUUAACACAGUUUAACGAAUUUCUCUGAUACACCAACAGUGGCUUGGUCCAUGGUUCCACGGCUCUGCCUCCCAGGGACCAUCAACAACCAAAGGCCCUUUCUCAGUGGUUUUCUUUGAGAUGUUCAGAAGACACCCACACACACCUAACACUGCCCCCACCCACCUGGUUCUGUACCCUUAUAGAGUUGAACAGUUCUCCCUUCCAGCCAAGGGCAGAAAUGAGGAACCUGCCAGAUCGGAGAGUUCCCAAAUCUAAUCACCAUUUAUGCUAGAAUUCCUUCAGCUGCAAAUAAUGCAGGGUCUCAUCUUAGCAGUGACAAGAUAUCUGCCAGCAGCACCAGGCCUACAUCUUCCCAGCUUUAAAUUCAGUGAAAAGACAGGAUCUCUUUCUAAAGCACUGCAAUAAAAUUUCCAGAAUGAAAACUCAUCAGCUUAAUUGGCCUCUGUUGGUUAUCUGCCCAUUUGUGAACCAAUCACUGUGGUCUGAGAGGUGCAAGGACUCCUCUGAUUGGCCUGGCCUGGGCCAUUUGCCCACUUCCGGCAUCAGAAGGAAGGACAGUUUCAAAAGGCAAACUGGGUGUUGCUACAGGAGAGCAUUCAGGCAAACCACAGCCAAUCUCAGGACUCUCCUUGUUCUGCCUUGUCUUCAAAUCCUCUUGCACAUUUUUCCAGCCUCGGACCCGCUGUGCCUCACCAUGUUCAUCUAGCAUAGGACCCUCAAUACAUUUCUCUGACACAGGGAAAACCCAUUUGGUGUAGUGAAUGACCCUAGAGUCAAACAGCCUGGGUUCUAAUUCUGGCUCUAUCAUUUUAGCAAGCUGUAUAAUCUCUCCGUGCCUCAGUUUCCUCAUCAAAAAAAAAAAGGCAGGUGGGCUGGGAGCAGUGGCUCAUG
This 3252-nucleotide long non-coding RNA is filed under the name Homo sapiens (human). RNAcentral's name for it is "HSALNT0308098". Lineage: Eukaryota; Metazoa; Chordata; Mammalia; Primates; Hominidae. The record is from RNAcentral.